Molecule: ribosomal RNA, 440 nt
Filed under: uncultured bacterium
Lineage: Bacteria
Description: partial 16S ribosomal RNA
Rfam family: Bacterial small subunit ribosomal RNA
Source: RNAcentral
CCUACGGGCGGCAGCAGUGGGGAAUAUUGCACAAUGGGGGAAACCCUGAUGCAGCGACGCCGCGUGAGUGAAGAAGUAUUUCGGUAUGUAAAGCUCUAUCAGCAGGGAAGAAAAUGACGGUACCUGAUUACGAAGCCCCGGCUAACUACGUGCCAGCAGCCGGGGGAAUACGUAGGGGGCAAGCGUUAUCCGGAUUUACUGGGGGUAAAGGGAGCGUAGACGGUGAUGCAAGUCAGCAGUGAAAGGCCGGGGCCCAACUCCGGGACUGCUUUUGAAACUGUGUGACUGGAGUGCAGGAGAGGUACGCGGAAUUCCUGGUGUAGCGGUGAAAUGCGUAGAUAUCGGGAGGAACACCAGUGGCGAAGGCGGCUUACUGGACUGUAACUGACGUUGAGGCUCGAAAGCGUGGGGAGCAAACAGGAUUAGAUACCCGAGUAGUC